UACGUAGGUGGCAAGCGUUGUCCGGAAUCAUUGGGCGUAAAGCGCGCGCAGGCGGCCUUUUAAGUCUGAUGUGAAAGCCCCCGGCUUAACCGGGGAGGGUCAUUGGAAACUGGGAGGCUUGAGUGCAGAAGAGGAAAGUGGAAUUCCAAGUGUAGCGGUGAAAUGCGUAGAGAUUUGGAGGAACACCAGUGGCGAAGGCGACUCUCUGGGCUGUAACUGACGCUGAGGCGCGAAAGCGUGGGGAGCAAACAGG
This 253-nucleotide ribosomal RNA is filed under the name uncultured bacterium. Its description in RNAcentral is "partial 16S ribosomal RNA". It matches the Rfam family "Bacterial small subunit ribosomal RNA", at positions 524 to 776 of the family's 1533-position model. The record is from RNAcentral.